RNAcentral lists this ribosomal RNA (591 nucleotides) under Enterococcus faecalis. Its description in RNAcentral is "bacterial SSU rRNA". It matches the Rfam family "Bacterial small subunit ribosomal RNA", at positions 97 to 674 of the family's 1533-position model. The record is from RNAcentral. Lineage: Bacteria; Bacillati; Bacillota; Bacilli; Lactobacillales; Enterococcaceae.
GGCGGACGGGUGAGUAACACGUGGGUAACCUACCCAUCAGAGGGGGAUAACACUUGGAAACAGGUGCUAAUACCGCAUAACAGUUUAUGCCGCAUGGCAUAAGAGUGAAAGGCGCUUUCGGGUGUCGCUGAUGGAUGGACCCGCGGUGCAUUAGCUAGUUGGUGAGGUAACGGCUCACCAAGGCCACGAUGCAUAGCCGACCUGAGAGGGUGAUCGGCCACACUGGGACUGAGACACGGCCCAGACUCCUACGGGAGGCAGCAGUAGGGAAUCUUCGGCAAUGGACGAAAGUCUGACCGAGCAACGCCGCGUGAGUGAAGAAGGUUUUCGGAUCGUAAAACUCUGUUGUUAGAGAAGAACAAGGACGUUAGUAACUGAACGUCCCCUGACGGUAUCUAACCAGAAAGCCACGGCUAACUACGUGCCAGCAGCCGCGGUAAUACGUAGGUGGCAAGCGUUGUCCGGAUUUAUUGGGCGUAAAGCGAGCGCAGGCGGUUUCUUAAGUCUGAUGUGAAAGCCCCCGGCUCAACCGGGGAGGGUCAUUGGAAACUGGGAGACUUGAGUGCAGAAGAGGAGAGUGGAAUUCCAUGU